AGCAGCCGCGGUAAUUCCAGCUCCAAUAGCGUAUAUUAAAGUUGCUGCAGUUAAAAAGCUCGUAGUUGAAUUUCGGGACCAUCAUGUCGGUCGUGCCUCGGUACGUACUGGCAUUGUUGGUUUCUACCUUCUGACGAACCAUGAUGUCAUUUAUUUGGUGUCGUGGGAAAUCAGGACUGUUACUUUGAAAAAUUAGAGUGUUUAAAGCAGGCUCACGCUUGAAUACAUUAGCAUGGAAUAAUGAAAUAGGACGUUUGAUUCUAUUUUGUUGGUUUCUAGGAUCGACGUAAUGAUUAAUAGGGAUAGUUGGGGGCAUUAGUAUUCAAUUGUCAGAGGUGAAAUUCUUGGAUUUAUUGAAGACUAACUACUGCGAAAGCAUUUGCCAAGGAUGUUUUCAUUAAUCAAGAACGAAAGUUAGGGGAUCGAAGACGAUCAGAUACCGUCGUAGUCUUAACCAUAAACUAUGCCGACUAGGGAUCGGAUGAUGUUAAUUUUUAAUGACUCAUUCGGCG
This 512-nucleotide ribosomal RNA is filed under the name uncultured Glomus. Its description in RNAcentral is "SSU rRNA". It matches the Rfam family "Eukaryotic small subunit ribosomal RNA", at positions 569 to 1085 of the family's 1831-position model. The record is from RNAcentral. Lineage: Eukaryota; Fungi; Glomeromycota; Glomeromycetes; Glomerales; Glomeraceae.